GAUGAACGCUGGCGGCGUGCCUAAUACAUGCGAGUCGAGCGAACGGACGAGGAGCUUGCUUCUCUGAUGUUAGCGGCGGACGGGUGAGUAACACGUGGAUAACCUACCUAUAAGACUGGGAUAACUUCGGGAAACCGGAGCUAAUACCGGAUAAUAUUUUGAACCGCAUGGUUCAAAAGUGAAAGUCGGUCUUGCUGUCACUUAUAGAUGGAUCCGCGCUGCAUUAGCUAGUUGGUAAGGUAACGGCUUACCAAGGCAACGAUGCAUAGCCGACCUGAGAGGGUGAUCGGCCACACUGGAACUGAGACACGGUCCAGACUCCUACGGGAGGCAGCAGUAGGGAAUCUUCCGCAAUGGGCGAAAGCCUGACGGAGCAACGCCGCGUGAGUGAUGAAGGUCUUCGGAUCGUAAAACUCUGUUAUUAGGGAAGAACAUAUGUGUAAGUAACUGUGCACAUCUUGACGGUACCUAGUCAGAAAGCCACGGCUAACUACGUG
This 497-nucleotide ribosomal RNA is filed under the name uncultured bacterium. RNAcentral describes it as "partial 16S ribosomal RNA". It matches the Rfam family "Bacterial small subunit ribosomal RNA", at positions 28 to 507 of the family's 1533-position model. The record is from RNAcentral.